Molecule: ribosomal RNA, 465 nt
Filed under: uncultured bacterium
Lineage: Bacteria
Description: partial 16S ribosomal RNA
Rfam family: Bacterial small subunit ribosomal RNA
Source: RNAcentral
GACGAACGCUGGCGGCGUGCUUAACACAUGCAAGUCGAACGGAAAGGCCCCUUUGGGGGUACUCGAGUGGCGAACGGGUGAGUAACACGUGAGUAACCUGCCCUUGACUUCGGGAUAACUUCAGGAAACUGGGGCUAAUACCGGAUAGGAAUCCUUGCUGCAUGGUGGGGGUUGGAAAGCUUCGGCGGUUUUGGAUGGACUCGCGGCUUAUCAGCUUGUUGGUGGGGUAGUGGCUUACCAAGGCUUUGACGGGUAGCCGGCCUGAGAGGGCGACCGGCCACAUUGGGACUGAGAGACGGCCCAGACUCCUACGGGAGGGAGCAGGGGGGAAUAUUGCACAAGGGGCGGAAGCCGGAUGCAGCAACGCCGCGGGCGGGAUGACGGCCUUCGGGUUGUAAACCGCUUUCAGCAGGGGCGAAGCUUGUGGUGACGGUACCUGCAGAAGAAGCACCGGCUAACUACGUG